Molecule: long non-coding RNA, 242 nt
Organism: Helianthus annuus (common sunflower)
Lineage: Eukaryota; Viridiplantae; Streptophyta; Magnoliopsida; Asterales; Asteraceae
Exons: 3
Source: RefSeq, a predicted model, not a curated record
CACCCAUGACAGUGUGGUGUGCAGAUGGAUCCCUAGCCGUCGCAUCUGCACGGUGGCGGUGGAGUGAGGAAACAGUCAAACAGAAGAGACACAAGUGGAGGAGUGGAAUAUUGACGCUUGGUAAUCGAGUGAUGAUUUUAAGAUGAAGAAUUGAGUAUUAUGGUCUUUGGGGUAUGUCUUUAUAUGUAAGCAAAUUUUGAUGGUUCCAAUCGAGUAAUGAUAUUUUGGUUAGAUGAAGUUGU